This 57-nucleotide transfer RNA is filed under the name Camelus bactrianus (Bactrian camel). It matches the Rfam family "tRNA", at positions 9 to 63 of the family's 71-position model. From Rfam's summary of the family: Transfer RNA (tRNA) molecules are approximately 80 nucleotides in length. Their secondary structure includes four short double-helical elements and three loops (D, anti-codon, and T loops). The record is from Rfam by way of RNAcentral. RNAcentral also lists the same sequence under 2 other names. Lineage: Eukaryota; Metazoa; Chordata; Mammalia; Artiodactyla; Camelidae.
AGCUCAGGUGGCAGAGUGCAUGCUUAGCAGGCAUGAGGUCCUGGGUUCAAUCCCCAG